Molecule: long non-coding RNA, 288 nt
Organism: Apis florea (little honeybee)
Lineage: Eukaryota; Metazoa; Arthropoda; Insecta; Hymenoptera; Apidae
Source: RefSeq, a predicted model, not a curated record
UUUUUUAAAAAGUGAAUUUAGUGAAAAAUAUUUUUAUAGUGAUUUUCUUAUAUCCCUUAUAAAAGUUUCGAAACAUGAUUCAAUAAAAAUGACUAUGUAUGAGAUUAAUGGUUCGAAGAAUUUUAAAAAUAUCCAAGCUCUCUGUAAAUUGAUAUAUUGAUUCUUAUGUAUUAACAGAGAUACGAAGAACCAGUAAAUUUCAAAUAAAUUGGCUGUGAUAUGCAUGAUGUUUGGAUCAGUGGUAAAACAGCCACAAAAGGAUUUGAAUACAUGGAUUUUUUAAAAAAU